CCUACGGGUGGCAGCAGUGAGGAAUAUUGGUCAAUGGGCGUAAGCCUGAACCAGCCAAGUCGCGUGAGGGAUGAAGGUUCUAUGGAUCGUAAACCUCUUUUAUAAGGGAAUAAAGUGCGGGACGUGUCCCGUUUUGUAUGUACCUUAUGAAUAAGGAUCGGCUAACUCCGUGCCAGCAGCCGCGGUAAUACGGAGGAUCCGAGCGUUAUCCGGAUUUAUUGGGUUUAAAGGGUGCGUAGGCGGCCUUUUAAGUCAGCGGUGAAAGUCUGUGGCUCAACCAUAGAAUUGCCGUUGAAACUGGGAGGCUUGAGUAGGUUUGAGGUAGGCGGAAUGCGUGGUGUAGCGGUGAAAUGCUGAGAUAUCACGCAGAACCCCGAUUGCGAAGGCAGCCUACCAGGCCAAGACUGACGCUGAUGCACGAAAGCGUGGGGAUCGAACAGGAUUAGAUACCCGAGUAGUC
This 460-nucleotide ribosomal RNA is filed under the name uncultured bacterium. RNAcentral's name for it is "partial 16S ribosomal RNA". It matches the Rfam family "Bacterial small subunit ribosomal RNA", at positions 338 to 795 of the family's 1533-position model. The record is from RNAcentral.